This is a non-coding RNA of Phascolarctos cinereus (koala), 455 nucleotides long. The record is from RefSeq and is a predicted model, not a curated record. Lineage: Eukaryota; Metazoa; Chordata; Mammalia; Diprotodontia; Phascolarctidae.
UGAGAGCCUUUAUUUCAUUGGAAAAGGAAUGGACACUUUUUGUAAGUGCUUAAAAAAGGUAACAAAAAAAGGCACAAUGUGCUAUGUGAAGCCACAAGAAGAAAAGAUCAUUUUCACCUAGGUGAAUCAGGGAAUACUUCUUGAAGAACGUGCUAUUUGAGCUAGGACUAGAAGGAUUCUUAAGGUAGAGAUGGAUAGGAAACAAGAGCCUGCACUGCCAUGGUAGCUGCCAUGAAAACAAACAAACAAAACAAAACUUGGAACUUUUAGAUAGUCUGUUGUUUCGGAAAUGGAGAAAGAGAAGAAACUGAAAGACAGCUUAGUGAAGCCAAAUCCAGAGCAAAAUGCUAUGCAAGGCCAACCUGCUUCUAAAAUUUCUUGAUCCAUUCUGUUGCUUGAAUUUAUUCUCUUUAAAUACUGCCUGUGAUUGCACUAAUUAAAAAUUAAUUUGUUUU